This 1363-nucleotide small RNA is filed under the name Pongo abelii (Sumatran orangutan). Its description in RNAcentral is "processed transcript". The record is from RNAcentral. Lineage: Eukaryota; Metazoa; Chordata; Mammalia; Primates; Hominidae.
AAAACACCAAAAGGGAACUAGGACAGAAUGGGGUCAGAGUAUAAGAACAAAGGGAAACAGAAAAAGACUGAGCUCAAAUUUCAAAGAUAUGAAAGUUUGAGUUAAUAAAGGAGUAAUGGAUGUCAACAGAAGGAAGCACACUAUUAAAUAGCAAGAUAAUCAAAGAAAAACAGAGAUAUAGAGGGAAUAAUUGCAAUCAAAAUAUAUUAUUUUUAAAUAAAGAAAAUCAUGGAAUAAAAAAUGAGUAAAAGUCAGGACAAGAGACAAAGCUUUUGGAGUUUAUGGCAGAAAGAAUUUCAACUGGGUGAUUCAUGCACCCAUUAGAGCUUGAGAAGCACUGCUUGGAAGCCCCUUCUGCCAUAAAUGAGGCUGCACAGAGUACUUCCUCCUGGCAGCCAUGGCUUAUGACCGCUGUCUUGCCAUCUGCUAUCCUUUACACUACAGAGCCAUCAUGAGUAGCCUGCUCUCAGUGCAGCUGGCCCUGGGCUCCUGGGUCUGCGGUUUCAUGGCCAUUGCAGUGCCCACAGCCCUCAUCAGUGGCCUGUCCUUCUGUGGCCCCCGUGCCAUCAACCACUUCUUCUGUGACAUUGCACCCUGGAUUGCCCUGGCCUGCACCAACACACAGGCAGUAGAGCUUGUGGCCUUUGUGACUGCUUUUGUGGUUAUCCUGAGUUCAUGCCUCAUCACCCUUGUCUCCUACGUGUACAUCAUCAGCACCAUCCUUGGGAUCCCCUCUGCCAGUGGCCGGAGCAAAGCCUUCUCCACGUGCUCCUCGCAUCUCACCGUGGUGCUCAUUUGGUAUGGGUCCACAAUUUUCCUUCACGUCCGCACCUCUAUCAAAGACGCCUUGGAUCUGACCAAAGCUGUCCACGUCCUGAACACUGUGGUGACUCCAGUUUUAAACCCCUUCAUCUAUACGCUUCGUAAUAAGGAAGUAAGAGAAACUCUGCUGAAGAAAUGGAAGGGAAAAUAAAUCUCCUCUGCCACAACAGAUGUCCUGUAAAUGGUCUCUGCAUCUAUACAGAGGUUCCAAGUAAGAAUGUGGAGGAACAGGGCAAAUCUUUCUUGGUACACAGAGAAAAAACAAACAAAACAAGCAAUACUAUAUUUUCUAUACAUUAUCAUGUAUGAUAAAAAUGGGAGUUUUUGACAUAAGCAAAUGGGACUUUUUAAGUAAAAAAUAAUUGUACAUUGAAUUAGGUUUGCUCUGGACUUUGGUUUAUAAAUUAGAGACAUCUGCAAUAAAAAGAGUGUUUUGGUAUAUCAGCUCUAAAUUCUUGUUUCUCUUUAAAGAUUAGCAAAAUUGUCUUAGUAUAAAAUAUUGAGAACUACAUUUGUGGAACACGAGGGAAGAGAAAUAUGC